This 574-nucleotide ribosomal RNA is filed under the name uncultured bacterium. RNAcentral's name for it is "partial 16S ribosomal RNA". It matches the Rfam family "Bacterial small subunit ribosomal RNA", at positions 355 to 923 of the family's 1533-position model. The record is from RNAcentral.
UGGGGAAUUUUGGACAAUGGGCGAAAGCCUGAUCCAGCAAUGCCGCGUGUGUGAAGAAGGCCUUCGGGUUGUAAAGCACUUUUGUCCGGAAAGAAAUCCUUGGCUCUAAUACAGUCGGGGGAUGACGGUACCGGAAGAAUAAGCACCGGCUAACUACGCGCCAGCAGCCGCGGUAAUACGUAGGGUGCAAGCGUUAAUCGGAAUUACUGGGCGUAAAGCGUGCGCAGGCGGUUUGCUAAGACCGAUGUGAAAUCCCCGGGCUCAACCUGGGAACUGCAUUGGUGACUGGCAGGCUAGAGUAUGGCAGAGGGGGGUAGAAUUCCACGUGUAGCAGUGAAAUGCGUAGAGAUGUGGAGGAAUACCGAUGGCGAAGGCAGCCCCCUGGGCAAUACUGACGCUCAUGCACGAAAGCGUGGGGAGCAAACAGGAUUAGAUACCCUGGUAGUCCACGCCCUAAACGAUGUCAACUAGUUGUUGGGGAUUCAUUUCCUUAGUAACGUAGCUAACGCGUGAAGUUGACCGCCUGGGGAGUACGGUCGCAAGAUUAAAACUUAAAUGAAUUGACGGGGUCAUA